This 460-nucleotide ribosomal RNA is filed under the name uncultured bacterium. RNAcentral's name for it is "partial 16S ribosomal RNA". It matches the Rfam family "Bacterial small subunit ribosomal RNA", at positions 338 to 795 of the family's 1533-position model. The record is from RNAcentral.
CCUACGGGGGGCAGCAGUGAGGAAUAUUGGUCAAUGGACGAGAGUCUGAACCAGCCAAGUAGCGUGAAGGAUGACUGCCUUAUGGGUUGUAAACUUCUUUUAUAUGGGAAUAAAAUGUUCCACGUGUGGGAUUUUGUAUGUACCAUAUGAAUAAGGAUCGGCUAACUCCGUGCCAGCAGCCGCGGUAAUACGGAGGAUCCGAGCGUUAUCCGGAAUUAUUGGGUUUAAAGGGAGCGUAGGUGGAUUGUUAAGUCAGUUGUGAAAGUUUGCGGCGCAACCGUAAAAUUGCAGUUGAAACUGGCAGUCUUGAGUAUAGUAGAGGUAGGCGGAAUUCGUGGUGUAGCGGUGAAAUGCUUAGAUAUCACGAAGAACUCCGAUGGCGAAGGCAGUUCACUGGACUGCAACUGACACUGAGGCUCGAAAGUGUGGGUAUCAAACAGGAUUAGAUACCCUUGUAGUC